GGGAAUGCAACGGUUUCGACGGGAAGAAAGAUGGUUAUAACUGCAUAUAGUGUUCCUGCCAGCACUUUAAAAAGGUAGAAAACAACAAACAACAAUAACGUAGAGAAUAACUACGCUAUGGCUGCUUAAUAAAAUAAGCAACCUCGCUUUAACUGAUCCCGCUUAUCGGAAUUGUUAAGGCGUCAAAUUAGAUAAGAUAGUCUAAAGAAUCGUCUGAGUUUUUUAGAUGAAACUAAAUCAGGAUAGCAAUUACUUUGGUUAGUCUUUCGACCGGAGUUUUGUGAAAUUUUAAAGUAGAGACUAUAUAUGUAGACGUUUUAAUGGUCUUCUUUUCGGACCCGAGUUCGACUCUCGGCAUUUCCACUU
Molecule: transfer-messenger RNA, 366 nt
Filed under: Bacteroidota bacterium
Lineage: Bacteria; Pseudomonadati; Bacteroidota
Rfam family: transfer-messenger RNA
About the family: Bacterial tmRNA, also known as 10Sa RNA or SsrA, is named for its dual tRNA and mRNA-like properties. Its role is to liberate the mRNA from a stalled ribosome.
Source: RNAcentral